Non-coding RNA from Vigna umbellata (rice bean), 1380 nucleotides. The record is from RefSeq and is a predicted model, not a curated record. NCBI's taxonomy places the organism in Eukaryota, Viridiplantae, Streptophyta, Magnoliopsida, Fabales, Fabaceae.
GUUAAAGACCUACAAGGAGUUAUGAAGAAAAUAAAGGUGAAGUCAGAGAAGUAAGUAACUUACCUCAUGGACAACGCAUCAUUGUAGACUUUGAUGAGGUAGGCUGGCUAUAGGCGAAGGGCAAGGAGUACUUGGCGGGUUUAUUGUGGGAUAUUGGCAACGGACGAUAAUUUAUUUCCAAUCAAUUUUGAAAGGUGGUCUGAAAAACAGGCAUCCCUAACACCUACUUUUUUAGAAUGCUUUAAGGAAAUAUUACAGCUUCGAUUUUGUUUUAAGACUACUGAAGCUAUUGCCCAAAGAUAUUGCAAAUUAACUUUGGGUAAGAAGUGGGGCUGCACAUAGACAACGUUUAUGGAAUGAGUUUAUGAUCCAACAAAAACAAAAGAUCAAAUCAUAUGUAAUUUGCCGACCGGUAAUAAGCAAACUCAAUGGGCCAUUUCGUUACCUGUCUAAAACCGGAGACAAUGUACAAGUUUCAUAUUAUUUUCAUUGCUUUUGUGUAUAUUAUUAUUUUGAUUGUUAUGUCAACUUACAAUUGUUUUUUUAUAGGAUAUUUGUAAAAAAAAUAGAGAAAUCGCAAGAAGCAAGUAAUUCCUCAUACUGGUGGCUCUAAACCUAUCUCAAGAAGAAGACAUGAGAUGCUUUUGGAUAGUGGAAAACUGCCUAGUCGUGGAAUGUUUAUAUUGACUCUCAAAAAAAAAAGAUGGCUCAUUUGUAAAUGAGGCGGCAAAGGCUAAGCGGUAAGUUUUACUAUAAUAUGAUAUUUUCAAACAUUAUUUCAAUAUUUAGAUCUUUAACUACAACUUCUUCUAUGCCUCAGACAAAUUGAAGUGGGUUUGAGUCAAAGCACUACUGAUGAAUCACAGGUUUCCCCUCAUGAUGUUGUUGGUAGAGUGUUAGGCCCAGAGCAUUCUGGGAGAGUCGAUGCAUGGUUUGGGAGCAGCUCCUAUCUAACUCAUUCAGAAAUACAAAAUGCGACUUUCAGAUUUAAGCAUGGGUUCAUCUAGUACUGCCACAUCAUCAACAUCUACUAAUCAAUGGGAACAAAAGUACAUGAAUUUAAAGGUGCGCUGAAACAUAAUAUGAUAAUGAAGGAAGGAAAGAUUCCUGAUGAAUUGGCUACCUUCUUUGAUCCUCACCACAACAAGCUCCUGAUGCAAAUGAGCCAGAGUCUCCUUUGGGUGCAAGACAAUCAUCUGAUGGAAGUAACAUUUAGGAAGUUUAUGAUAUUGUUUUAGGAUAAAACUAUACCUAGUUUAUUAUGAAUUGAGUAACAUUUCUUUCUUUGUAACUACUUUUGUAAUGAGAUUACAUUGACUUAUAGUCUAUCUUGAUGUGACUAUAAAAUUGUUUCUCAAUUUAUUUUUCUAAAUUUCUUUC